Pieris brassicae (large cabbage white) is the source of this 286-nucleotide long non-coding RNA. RefSeq lists it as uncharacterized. NCBI's taxonomy places the organism in Eukaryota, Metazoa, Arthropoda, Insecta, Lepidoptera, Pieridae. The transcript is spliced from 3 exons. The record is from RefSeq and is a predicted model, not a curated record.
GUGACAUAUAUUUUUAUCUGUGUUCAUAGUGUUGUGUUACCGGAAAUGCGUUGUUUGUAAUUAGAAUUCGAAGAUGCAUUGACUGGCUUCAUGCAAACCUAAGUAUGCCGUUCAUCGACAUCGCAUUCGCAGCUGAGAUCAGCCGGUAUGAAGACCCGGAGUUUGAGGAGGUAGCUCGACGGAACUGCAAUGAGGAUCCGGACAAACGACAGUCGGCUAUCGAAGAGCUUAGGAGUAUGAUCUAUGAGCGGGGCUUGUGUAAUCCUCGUCGAAUGGAUGAUGCAUA